CAGUAGCCGCGGGAAAACGUAGGGCGCAAGCGUUAUUCGGAAUUAUUGGGCGUAAAGGGUGCGUAGGCGGCCCCGCAAGUCUCAUGUGAAAUCUUCAGGCUCAACUUGAAGUCUGCAUGGGAAACUGCGGGGCUGGAGUAUGGGAGAGGUGAGUGGAAUUCCUGGUGUAGCGGUGAAAUGCGUAGAUAUCAGGAGGAACACCUGUGGCGAAAGCGGCUCACUGGACCAUAACUGACGCUGAUGCACGAAAGCUAGGGGAGCAAACAGGAUUAGAUACCCGCGUAGUCCCUGUCUCUUAUAC
Molecule: ribosomal RNA, 301 nt
Filed under: uncultured bacterium
Lineage: Bacteria
Description: partial 16S ribosomal RNA
Rfam family: Bacterial small subunit ribosomal RNA
Source: RNAcentral